RNAcentral lists this ribosomal RNA (253 nucleotides) under uncultured bacterium. Its description in RNAcentral is "partial 16S ribosomal RNA". It matches the Rfam family "Bacterial small subunit ribosomal RNA", at positions 524 to 776 of the family's 1533-position model. The record is from RNAcentral.
UACAGAGGUCCCAAGCGUUGUUCGGAUUCACUGGGCGUAAAGGGUGCGUAGGCGGCAAGGUAAGUCUGACGUGAAAUCUCCGAGCCUAACUCGGAAACUGCGUUGGAUACUAUCUUGCUCGAGGAAUGGAGGGGAGACUGGAAUACUUGGUGUAGCAGUGAAAUGCGUAGAUAUCAAGUGGAACACCAGUGGCGAAGGCGAGUCUCUGGACAUUUCCUGACGCUGAGGCACGAAAGCCAGGGGAGCAAACGGG